Non-coding RNA from Triticum aestivum (bread wheat), 135 nucleotides. The record is from Rfam. Lineage: Eukaryota; Viridiplantae; Streptophyta; Magnoliopsida; Poales; Poaceae.
AAGGUACUCCCUCCGUCUGGAAAUACUUGUCAUCAAAAUGGAUAAAAAAGGAUGUAUUUAGACGUAUUUUAGUUCUAGAUACAUUCUUUUUUGUUCAUUUUGAUAACAAGUAUUUUCGGACGGAGGGAGUAUAUG